This 496-nucleotide ribosomal RNA is filed under the name uncultured bacterium. RNAcentral's name for it is "partial 16S ribosomal RNA". It matches the Rfam family "Bacterial small subunit ribosomal RNA", at positions 29 to 507 of the family's 1533-position model. The record is from RNAcentral.
AUGAACGCUGGCGGCGUGCCUAAUACAUGCAAGUCGAGCGAACAGACGAGGAGCUUGCUCCUUUGACGUUAGCGGCGGACGGGUGAGUAACACGUGGAUAACCUACCUAUAAGACUGGGAUAACUUCGGGAAACCGGAGCUAAUACCGGAUAACAUGUUGAACCGCAUGGUUCAACAGUGAAAGACGGUCUUGCUGUCACUUAUAGAUGGAUCCGCGCCGCAUUAGCUAGUUGGUAAGGUAACGGCUUACCAAGGCAACGAUGCGUAGCCGACCUGAGAGGGUGAUCGGCCACACUGGAACUGAGACACGGUCCAGACUCCUACGGGAGGCAGCAGUAGGGAAUCUUCCGCAAUGGGCGAAAGCCUGACGGGGCAACGCCGCGUGAGUGAAGAAGGUCUUCGGAUCGUAAAACUCUGUUAUUAGGGAAGAACAAAUGUGUAAGUAACUAUGCACGUCUUGACGGUACCUAAUCAGAAAGCCACGGCUAACUACGUG